GAAGAUUGAAAUUUCACAAGCUCAUUUGGAGCUGUUGAAGCAAACUAAUGUUCUCAAUGAUGCCUUCCCCAUCCAUCAUGAUGGAGAAUUUGGAACAAUAAACAAUUUCCGACUUGGAAGACUUCCUAAAAUUCCGGUAAAGAAACAAGUGUACAACUCUCUUUUUCUUGCUUUCUAACAAUCGUCUAUGGUUGAUGAAUUAUGAUCAUACCUUUUUCCAUCUUCCUUAAUGGAAAGCACAACUGGAAAUUUGUCAAAAAAAUACACUGUAUGUUCAACCAACAAGACAUUUUAGGCUACAAGUUAACAUGAAAUUCCUUCCUUUCCUAGACUUUUUCUCUCCCCCCUUCUUCACUGCUUUUUUCUCUCAGUUCUUCUUGGCUUUUUGAAUAUGAGCAUGGUAAAAGGGGUAAUGAGUAUAGGUUUGAUUUACCAUUGAGGCAUCACUCCAACUAAGCCAAAAACAACAAAAACUUAAUUCUGACUAUUUAGGCUUAAUUCUGACUAUUUAGAUUUGGUAGGUAAAAGUUGAACAAAUUUCAUACCUGCUAACUAAAUUUUUAUAUGACAAGAUGGUAUAUGGCAUGGGGCAUAUAGUUCAACUUACAUAUUUGCAGAUACUGCUAAGAAACCAGAUUAAGGCAUGAUAUGCAAUGAUAAUACUGUUGAUGUCUGCUAUCAAAUGGUCAUUGAUCAACCGGCAGAAGUGGGGGAAAAAAGACUGAUCAAUUUUGGUUGGUUGUAUCAAGAAAUGUUGGUUAAAAUUUAUGCCAAAUAGAAUAAUAGUCCAAUAAAAUAUCCUCUUGUUUUAAUUGCAUGCAGCAAAUGCUUCUUUAACGUAAGGAUUACCUUUCAUAUUGUAGUUUACCCAUAUAUUCAUGUUUGUAGUUCAUGUGAAUUGACAUUUUAAUUUGUUCUUCUGGCCUCUUUAGUUUAUACCACUGCAAACAAGAUGGAGCGUGUGGCAUGAUAGCUUCCUAGUUCUCACACUCAUCUUACUCUCACUCACUUUCUUAUUUUGAAAUUCCCUUUCUUGGACUUAAGAAAAUUGAAUACUAUUUGUGAUUAUCAUUUUUAUUACUUACGAGGUUGUGCAAAUGUUCAGGUCGAAUGGGAUGAGAUAAAUGCUGCCUGGGGCCAAGCUUGC
Molecule: unclassified non-coding RNA, 1147 nt
Filed under: Hevea brasiliensis (rubber tree)
Lineage: Eukaryota; Viridiplantae; Streptophyta; Magnoliopsida; Malpighiales; Euphorbiaceae
Source: RNAcentral